This 71-nucleotide transfer RNA is filed under the name Paludisphaera mucosa. RNAcentral describes it as "tRNA-Ile". It matches the Rfam family "tRNA". From Rfam's summary of the family: Transfer RNA (tRNA) molecules are approximately 80 nucleotides in length. Their secondary structure includes four short double-helical elements and three loops (D, anti-codon, and T loops). Further hydrogen bonds mediate the characteristic L-shaped molecular structure. tRNAs have two regions of fundamental functional importance: the anti-codon, which is responsible for specific mRNA codon recognition, and the 3' end, to which the tRNAs corresponding amino acid is attached (by aminoacyl-tRNA synthetases). tRNAs cope with the degeneracy of the genetic code in two manners: having more than one tRNA (with a specific anti-codon) for a particular amino acid; and 'wobble' base-pairing, i.e. permitting non-standard base-pairing at the 3rd anti-codon position. The record is from RNAcentral. Lineage: Bacteria; Pseudomonadati; Planctomycetota; Planctomycetia; Isosphaerales; Isosphaeraceae.
CGGCCCGCAGCUCCGGGGUGGAGCACCCGGCUGAUAACCGGGAGGCGGAGGUUCGAUUCCUCCCGGGCCGA